GAAGGUAGCGGGAGAUUUGUAGAGAGGAUGGGUGGGGUUCGACCUAAGAAAAGAAGGUGCGUGCGCACUGAGCAAAUAUAUUUGCACACGUACAGAGAGGCCUCUCUUCUUCGUCUUUUUCUACUCAUUCCUCCGUCAUUG
This is a non-coding RNA of Caenorhabditis elegans, 141 nucleotides long. NCBI's taxonomy places the organism in Eukaryota, Metazoa, Nematoda, Chromadorea, Rhabditida, Rhabditidae. The record is from Ensembl.